GCGAGUGGCGGACGGGUGAGGAAUACAUCGGAAUCUACUCUUUCGUGGGGGAUAACGUAGGGAAACUUACGCUAAUACCGCAUACGACCUACGGGUGAAAGCGGAGGACCUUCGGGCUUCGCGCGAUUGAAUGAGCCGAUGUCGGAUUAGCUAGUUGGCGGGGUAAAGGCCCACCAAGGCGACGAUCCAUAGCGGGUCUGAG
RNAcentral lists this ribosomal RNA (202 nucleotides) under Mucochytrium quahogii. Its description in RNAcentral is "labyrinthulid quahog parasite QPX partial Bacterial small subunit ribosomal RNA". It matches the Rfam family "Bacterial small subunit ribosomal RNA", at positions 91 to 296 of the family's 1533-position model. Lineage: Eukaryota; Bigyra; Thraustochytrida; Thraustochytriidae. The record is from RNAcentral.